CCUCAGAAGAUUUAUGGAAGUAAACAACGCUAUGAGAGUCUUCUUUCUUACUGCUUUGAUAGCUAUUUUAGCCUUUGAUACCUGCAAUGCAAUGAGAUGCUUCUUAACCUGCUUUAACAAAAAUGGCGACUUUACUAACUUUGAGGUGACCUAAGAAAAUUGUGAUCUACAAGAAACCUUCUCAAUAAAGACAUCCAAAUACAUUUUUUAAUGCCGAAAUCAAAA
Long non-coding RNA from Drosophila eugracilis, 225 nucleotides. RefSeq lists it as uncharacterized. The record is from RefSeq and is a predicted model, not a curated record. Lineage: Eukaryota; Metazoa; Arthropoda; Insecta; Diptera; Drosophilidae. The transcript is spliced from 2 exons.